Molecule: ribosomal RNA, 497 nt
Filed under: uncultured bacterium
Lineage: Bacteria
Description: partial 16S ribosomal RNA
Rfam family: Bacterial small subunit ribosomal RNA
Source: RNAcentral
GAUGAACGCUGGCGGCGUGCCUAAUACAUGCAAGUCGAGCGAACAGACGAGGAGCUUGCUCCUCUGACGUUAGCGGCGGACGGGUGAGUAACACGUGGAUAACCUACCUAUAAGACUGGGAUAACUUCGGGAAACCGGAGCUAAUACCGGAUAAUAUAUUGAACCGCAUGGUUCAAUAGUGAAAGACGGUUUUGCUGUCACUAAUAGAUGGAUCCGCGCCGCAUUAGCUAGUUGGUAAGGUAACGGCUUACCAAGGCAACGAUGCGUAGCCGACCUGAGAGGGUGAUCGGCCACACUGGAACUGAGACACGGUCCAGACUCCUACGGGAGGCAGCAGUAGGGAAUCUUCCGCAAUGGGCGAAAGCCUGACGGAGCAACGCCGCGUGAGUGAUGAAGGUCUUCGGAUCGUAAAACUCUGUUAUUAGGGAAGAACAAAUGUGUAAGUAACUAUGCACGUCUAGACGGUACCUAAUCAGAAAGCCACGGCUAACUACGUG